RNAcentral lists this ribosomal RNA (872 nucleotides) under Leuconostoc mesenteroides. RNAcentral's name for it is "bacterial SSU rRNA". It matches the Rfam family "Bacterial small subunit ribosomal RNA", at positions 24 to 878 of the family's 1533-position model. Lineage: Bacteria; Bacillati; Bacillota; Bacilli; Lactobacillales; Lactobacillaceae. The record is from RNAcentral.
UCAGGAUGAACGCUGGCGGCGUGCCUAAUACAUGCAAGUCGAACGCACAGCGAAAGGUGCUUGCACCUUUCAAGUGAGUGGCGAACGGGUGAGUAACACGUGGACAACCUGCCUCAAGGCUGGGGAUAACAUUUGGAAACAGAUGCUAAUACCGAAUAAAACUUAGUGUCGCAUGACACAAAGUUAAAAGGCGCUUCGGCGUCACCUAGAGAUGGAUCCGCGGUGCAUUAGUUAGUUGGUGGGGUAAAGGCCUACCAAGACAAUGAUGCAUAGCCGAGUUGAGAGACUGAUCGGCCACAUUGGGACUGAGACACGGCCCAAACUCCUACGGGAGGCUGCAGUAGGGAAUCUUCCACAAUGGGCGAAAGCCUGAUGGAGCAACGCCGCGUGUGUGAUGAAGGCUUUCGGGUCGUAAAGCACUGUUGUAUGGGAAGAACAGCUAGAAUAGGAAAUGAUUUUAGUUUGACGGUACCAUACCAGAAAGGGACGGCUAAAUACGUGCCAGCAGCCGCGGUAAUACGUAUGUCCCGAGCGUUAUCCGGAUUUAUUGGGCGUAAAGCGAGCGCAGACGGUUUAUUAAGUCUGAUGUGAAAGCCCGGAGCUCAACUCCGGAAUGGCAUUGGAAACUGGUUAACUUGAGUGCAGUAGAGGUAAGUGGAACUCCAUGUGUAGCGGUGGAAUGCGUAGAUAUAUGGAAGAACACCAGUGGCGAAGGCGGCUUACUGGACUGCAACUGACGUUGAGGCUCGAAAGUGUGGGUAGCAAACAGGAUUAGAUACCCUGGUAGUCCACACCGUAAACGAUGAACACUAGGUGUUAGGAGGUUUCCGCCUCUUAGUGCCGAAGCUAACGCAUUAAGUGUCCGCAUGGGG